UGGGUUUUGGGGAGCUCGAACCGCGUCCGAGUUGUAGCGGCCCUUCUUUCUCUCGCCUUUGCUCUCGUAAAGCCGAGAGCGAGGAAAGGAAACCCUCUCUCGGAUCUGCAACAAGGCCUCCCAGAUCUCAAUUGGAGACACUGCUUCUUUACUGCUACCUCGGCUUGAUUUACGGGCAUUGAUCUGUACCAGAGAGCAGUUCUUGUGCUUAUUGCGGGUUUCUUUUGUUCCGAUCAGCGUAAGAGCUUGUAAUAUUGCCGGUUCGUAGAACAGAGGCCAUGGCGGCAAGAAGAGCAGCAAAUCCGUCUCGACGCUUGGCUGACGGUGGAAGCGUUCCGCUCGUCAGCUCACUGCAUCAGAAAUCACGAACGCCUCCAUUACUAUCGAUUGGGCUGGUUAUUGUGGGUGCUUUUCUUCUCAUUGGUUACUCCUAUAGAGACUCAGGUCGAUUUGCCAGCGAGAGGGAAGCUAUAAGCAGGGAUGAAGGAGGUUCCUGUACAUCAGACAUUCUACAAGCAAUACCCAUUCUAAAGAAAGCAUAUGGAAACAGCAUGCGUAAAGUUUUGCAUGUAGGCCCUGAGACCUGUAAAGUGGUUGCUAAGUUGUUGAAAGAAGAUGACAUUGAAGCCUGGGGUGUGGAACCUUAUGACUUGGAGGAUGUCGAUAGUAUCUGCAAGACCCUUGUGCACAAAGGCUUUGUCCGUUUAGCUGAUAUCAAGUUUCCUCUACCAUACAGACCAAAAUCAUUUUCCCUUGUCAUAGUGUCAGAUGCGCUGGAUUACUUAUCUCCGAAGUAUCUUAACGCAACCCUUCCAGAUUUGGCAAGGGUAUCUGCAGAUGGUCUUGUUAUAUUUGCUGGCUAUCCAGGUCAGCAGAGAGCUAAGGUUUCUGAGCUGUCAAAAUUUGGAAGGCCGGCCAAACUACGGAGUUCAUCCUGGUGGAUACGGUAUUUUGUUCAGACUGGCGUGGAAGAGAAUGAAUCUAUCAUGAAGAAGUUUGAGCAGGCUGCAACCAAGCGGUCAUACAAACCGAGCUGCCAAAUUUUCCAUCUCAGCUCAUAGUGUUCAUCCUGGCAUAUCUUGUGGGACGUUCACAAAAAUCAGAGCACAACAGGGCCUCUGUAAAACUCUACCAUGUCAGUACUCCUACCAGAAACAGAAGAGGCAGAGUCCCAUAAUGGACUGUCGUAGUUCCUAGAUUUGAGGUGAACAAAUGAUAAGUACUGUCACUUAUUUCAGAUUUAUGGUUUAGCCAUGUUCAUUAUGUGAUCUGUUUCCUCGGUGGAACUUAGUGGUCGUGCACCUGUUAAAGCCUGCUGUCUGCGGAUAUCUGGUCUUUCAUCCAUCUCCGGCAUUUUUAGAGUGUGAUAUGAAACAUGGGUCUUGAUAUUAUGCUGUUCAACAAAAGCUUUCAGUUAUUUGUUAUGGGACAUCCAUUGAAAUCAAGAUUAAUUUCAAAAGGUUACACCUUAAGCGACCAAAAAGUGUAGUUGAGCAUUGUUUUUU
This is an RNA transcript of Elaeis guineensis (African oil palm), 1505 nucleotides long. It is a transcript of the gene named probable pectin methylesterase CGR2, with no coding region annotated. The record is from RefSeq and is a predicted model, not a curated record. Lineage: Eukaryota; Viridiplantae; Streptophyta; Magnoliopsida; Arecales; Arecaceae.